Molecule: long non-coding RNA, 384 nt
Filed under: Rattus norvegicus (Norway rat)
Lineage: Eukaryota; Metazoa; Chordata; Mammalia; Rodentia; Muridae
Description: long non-coding RNA NONRATT018453
Source: RNAcentral
CGGCCGCGCGCCGCGGGGGGGAGGAGACGGUCUGGAGUCCCCCGCUGCGCAGGGGAUGGGGAGACGGAGGACUGCAGCGCCCCUUGGGGCUUCUGAUGCGCCCAGGUAAUCUCACCUGGCCGCCAGCCUCCCGCAGGAGGAACAGACACGCUGGUUCCACACCGAGCCUGUUAACAGCUCGACUUCCAAUAUUUGGUAAGUGAAACCUCACUGGACCUUCAUACUCGUAAGAAUCUAGGUUGAUCUAUUGGCCUCUGCUUUCCUGGGCCAUCUGUGCCUGGGAUGACAGAAGACAUGUGCUCCUCUUGGUACUGUCCACAGUUGUUCACCAUUGUGGAAAUGAAGCAUUUGCUGGAGGACUAUGAUGAAGACACACAGAACAUC